UCCUCAAACAUGGUGCAAUGGGUCAGCGCAUCUGGCUGUUAACCAAAAGGUUGGUGGUUUGAGCCCACCCUGUAGGAA
This 78-nucleotide transfer RNA is filed under the name Podarcis lilfordi (Lilford's wall lizard). RNAcentral describes it as "tRNA.Asn". It matches the Rfam family "tRNA". Rfam says of the family: Transfer RNA (tRNA) molecules are approximately 80 nucleotides in length. Their secondary structure includes four short double-helical elements and three loops (D, anti-codon, and T loops). Lineage: Eukaryota; Metazoa; Chordata; Lepidosauria; Squamata; Lacertidae. The record is from RNAcentral.